CGCCAUUUUGUACCACACUACAGGAUGUGUUGGCUGGAUGUGAUAAAUAGAUGAAUGUUAACGCAGCCAUUUUUUUCUUCUUCUUCUCCCAACUCAAUGCGCUCGAGCUAUUAAAAUUUACAAGUGACAUUGCAGACAUCUAUCCUUGUUACUGGUCGAUAAGGAUUCAUGGGUUUGCCUCGGUCGAGCGUAACGAGAAUAACAAGCUAAACGCGUCAACUUGACGGCUUCGUCUGCUUAGCAUCAUUAUCGUCAACAUUCCCCAAUUCUCUUCGCUUCUGGAACGUAGGUUAAAAAGGGCAAGGUGAUGAAUGAGAAUGUCACCUGAAGAAGAGCAACAACGAUACGAGUGGCGCCACUUUGAACGGCGAUGGUCGAAAUGGUCGUCGUAGCUGGCGUCUGAGAUGACAGGACGGAGCCGGAUGACCUCUGCUGCCGCUGGAGCAAAUGCGCUAAAGGCGGGAUGUCGGCUUCGGCCAUGUCAAAUUCGUUUUCUCUUCACAGUUCGUUAUAUGGGUUGCACGGCUGAUUACGAUUUAUCCGCAAAAAAAAAUAGAACGAACCACACCCAGCGUGAUAUUUCCGUCCGGGGUACUCACGCACGCCAAGAAGAGAGAGGCGAAGGGUAAGGAGGAGGCCAAGUUUAAAUUAUAAUAUUUUAUUUUUUUUUUUUA
Long non-coding RNA from Daphnia magna, 674 nucleotides. RefSeq lists it as uncharacterized. Lineage: Eukaryota; Metazoa; Arthropoda; Branchiopoda; Diplostraca; Daphniidae. The record is from RefSeq and is a predicted model, not a curated record. The transcript is spliced from 2 exons.